GGUAAGGCCUUAACUUGAGCUAAUCCAUUAUCGGAUCGUAAUAGGAGUAUUGCUCAUUGUUACCUGGAAUACUGAUGUUUGAACCAUUAGGCAGGGAGGAAGACGCCUCCACUGCCUUAAUGCAUAUCAAACAAGGGAACCAGUCUAUCUCAGAUUAUGCCAUAGAAUGUCAUACUUUGGCAUCUGAGGUACACUGGACUAAUAAUGGAUUAAUCGCUGCUUUUAAAAAUGGAUUAUCCGAGAAUAUUCUUGACGAAAUUGCUGCCAAAGACCCACCUAAGGGGUAAAUUGCUUUAUUACUUAUGUGAUGCAGAUCGAUAAUAGACUCAGGACCAGGGAAAUUGCUAGAAACAGAACUAGACGUUUGACUAUGUCACUAGCACCUCGAUUCUCCAGACCUGUUGUAUCUGGCCUUCCGACGCUGUCUGAACCCGAACCUUUGCAAUUAGGGGUUACUGGACUGUUGGAGGCAGAGAAACCGUAUAGGAGAAGAGAGGGUCUUUGCUUAUA
Molecule: non-coding RNA, 510 nt
Organism: Pelobates cultripes (western spadefoot toad)
Lineage: Eukaryota; Metazoa; Chordata; Amphibia; Anura; Pelobatidae
Source: the annotation of a GenBank genome assembly